GACGAACGCUGGCGGCGUGCCUAAUACAUGCAAGUUGAGCGCUGAAGGUUGGUACUUGUACCAACUGGAUGAGCAGCGAACGGGUGAGUAACGCGUGGGGAAUCUGCCUUUGAGCGGGGGACAACAUUUGGAAACGAAUGCUAAUACCGCAUAAAAACUUUAAACACAAGUUUUAAGUUUGAAAGAUGCAAUUGCAUCACUCAAAGAUGAUCCCGCGUUGUAUUAGCUAGUUGGUGAGGUAAAGGCUCACCAAGGCGAUGAUACAUAGCCGACCUGAGAGGGUGAUCGGCCACAUUGGGACUGAGACACGGCCCAAACUCCUACGGGAGGCAGCAGUAGGGAAUCUUCGGCAAUGGACGAAAGUCUGACCGAGCAACGCCGCGUGAGGGAAGAAGGUUUUCGGAUCGUAAAACUCUGUUGGUAGAGAAGAAAGUUGGUGAGAGUGGAAAGCUCAUCAAGUGACGGUAACUACCCAGAAAGGGACGGCUAACUACGUG
This 497-nucleotide ribosomal RNA is filed under the name uncultured bacterium. Its description in RNAcentral is "partial 16S ribosomal RNA". It matches the Rfam family "Bacterial small subunit ribosomal RNA", at positions 28 to 507 of the family's 1533-position model. The record is from RNAcentral.